GACGGACCACACGAACGUUAUUCGGAAUUACUGGGCUUAAAGGGUGCGUAGGCUGUGCAGUAAGUUGGGUGUGAAAUCCCUCGGCUUAACCGAGGAACUGCGCCCGAAACUACUGUGCUUGAGAAAGAUAGCGGUAAGCGGAACUUAGGGUGGAGCGGUGAAAUGCGUAGAUAUCCUAAGGAACACCGGUGGCGAAAGCGGCUUACUGGGUCUUUUCUGACGCUGAGGCACGAAAGCUAGGGUAGCGAACGGG
Molecule: ribosomal RNA, 253 nt
Filed under: uncultured bacterium
Lineage: Bacteria
Description: partial 16S ribosomal RNA
Rfam family: Bacterial small subunit ribosomal RNA
Source: RNAcentral